GUCGAACGAGCGAGAGAGAGCUUGCUUUCUCAAGCGAGUGGCGAACGGGUGAGUUAUGCGUGAGGAACCUGCCUCAAAGAGGGGGACAACAGUUGGAAACGACUGCUAAUACCGCAUAAGCCCACAGGUCGGCAUCGACCGGAGGGAAGAGGAGCAAUCCGCUUUGAGAUGGCCUCGCGUCCGAUUAGCUAGUUGGUGAGGUAAUGGCCCACCAAGGCGACGAUCGGUAGCCGGACUGAGAGGUUGAACGGCCACAUUGGGACUGAGACACGGCCCAGACUCCUACGGGAGGCAGCAGUGGGGAAUAUUGCACAAUGGGGGAAACCCUGAUGCAGCGACGCCGCGUGGAGGAAGAAGGUCUUCGGAUUGUAAACUCCUGUUGUUGAGGAAGAUAAUGACGGUACUCAACAAGGAAGUGACGGCUAACUACGUGCCAGCAGCCGCGGUAAAACGUAGGUCAUAAGCGUUGUCCGGAAUUACUGGGUGUAAAGGGAGCGCAGGCGGGAAGACAAGUUGGAAGUGAAAUCUAUGGGCUCAACCCAUAAACUGCUUUCAAAACUGUUUUUCUUGAGUAGUGCAGAGGUAGGCGGAAUUCCCGGUGUAGCGGUGGAAUGCGUAGAUAUCGGGAGGAACACCAGUGGCGAAGGCGGCCUACUGGGCACCAACUGACGCUGAGGCUCGAAAGUGUGGGUAGCAAACAGGAUUAGAUACCCUGGUAGUCCACACCGUAAACGAUGAUUACUAGGUGUUGGAGGAUUGACCCCUUCAGUGCCGCAGUUAACACAAUAAGUAAUCCACCUGGGGAGUACGACCGC
This 815-nucleotide ribosomal RNA is filed under the name uncultured bacterium. Its description in RNAcentral is "bacterial SSU rRNA". It matches the Rfam family "Bacterial small subunit ribosomal RNA", at positions 61 to 889 of the family's 1533-position model. The record is from RNAcentral.